ACCCACCAGCUAGCCCCACCAAACCACAAAACCAACAAAAUACCUUAAAUAACCCCAAAGACACCACACAUCUACCCAACAAACCAUUUUACCCCCUUAGUAUGGGCGACAGAAAAGGAACUAGAUGGAGCAAUAGAAAAAGUACCGCAAGGGAACGCUGAAACAGAGAUGAAACAGCCCAGUGAAGUUUAGAAAAGCAGAGAUCACACCUCG
This 213-nucleotide ribosomal RNA is filed under the name Psammoperca waigiensis. RNAcentral describes it as "partial 16S ribosomal RNA". The record is from RNAcentral. Lineage: Eukaryota; Metazoa; Chordata; Actinopteri; Centropomidae.